ACACUCCUGCGGGAGGCAGCAGUGGGGAAUUUUGGACAAUGGGCGAAAGCCUGAUCCAGCAAUGCCGCGUGAGUGAAGAAGGCCUUCGGGUUGUAAAGCUCUUUUGUCAGGGAAGAAACGGUGAGAGCUAAUAUCUCUUGCUAAUGACGGUACCUGAAGAAUAAGCACCGGCUAACUACGUGCCAGCAGCCGCGGUAAUACGUAGGGUGCAAGCGUUAAUCGGAAUUACUGGGCGUAAAGCGUGCGCAGGCGGUUUUGUAAGUCUGAUGUGAAAUCCCCGGGCUCAACCUGGGAAUUGCAUUGGAGACUGCAAGGCUAGAAUCUGGCAGAGGGGGGUAGAAUUCCACGUGUAGCAGUGAAAUGCGUAGAUAUGUGGAGGAACACCGAUGGCGAAGGCAGCCCCCUGGGUCAAGAUUGACGCUCAUGCACGAAAGCGUGGGGAGCAAACAGGAUUAGAUACCCCAGUAGUCCCAU
This 474-nucleotide ribosomal RNA is filed under the name uncultured organism. Its description in RNAcentral is "partial 16S ribosomal RNA". It matches the Rfam family "Bacterial small subunit ribosomal RNA", at positions 333 to 798 of the family's 1533-position model. The record is from RNAcentral.